UGCCAGCCGCCGCGGUAAUACGGAGGGUGCGAGCGUUAAUCGGAAUUACUGGGCGUAAAGCGUGCGUAGGCGGUUUAUUAAGCGAGAUGUGAAAUCCCGGGGCUUAACCUCGGAACUGCAUUUCGAACUGGUAGGCUAGAGUACUGUAGAGGGUGGUGGAAUUUCCAGUGUAGCGGUGAAAUGCGUAGAGAUUGGAAGGAACAUCAGUGGCGAAGGCGGCCACCUGGACAGAUACUGACGCUGAGGCACGAAAGCGUGGGGAGCAAACAGGAUUAGAUA
RNAcentral lists this ribosomal RNA (279 nucleotides) under uncultured bacterium. RNAcentral's name for it is "partial 16S ribosomal RNA". It matches the Rfam family "Bacterial small subunit ribosomal RNA", at positions 506 to 784 of the family's 1533-position model. The record is from RNAcentral.